ACCAUCCAGAGAAUUUAGCAGAGAUGCUUUAGUGCCUUCGGGAACNCUGAGACAGGUGCUGCAUGGCUGUCGUCAGCUCGUGUUGUGAAAUGUUGGGUUAAGUCCCGNAACGAGCGCAACCCUUAUCCUUUGUUGCCAGCACGUAAUGGUGGGAACUCAAAGGAGACUGCCGGUGAUAAACCGGAGGAAGGUGGGGAUGACGUCAAGUCAUCAUGGCCCUUACGAGUAGGGCUACACACGUGCUACGAUGGCGCAUACAAAGAGAAGCGACCUCGCGAGAGCAAGCGGACCUCAUAAAGUGCGUCGUAGUCCGGAUUGGAGUCUGCAACUCGACUCCAUGAAGUCGGAAUCGCUAGUAAUCGUAAAUCAGAAUGUUACGGUGAAUACGUUCCCGGGCCUUGUACACACCGCCCGUCACACCAUGGGAGUGGGUUGCAAAAGAAGUAGAUAGCUUAACCUUCGGGAGGGCGUUUACCACUUUGUGAUUCAUGACUGGGGUGAAGUCGUAACAAGGUAGGCGUAGUGCU
This 527-nucleotide ribosomal RNA is filed under the name uncultured bacterium. RNAcentral's name for it is "bacterial SSU rRNA". It matches the Rfam family "Bacterial small subunit ribosomal RNA", at positions 983 to 1509 of the family's 1533-position model. The record is from RNAcentral.